AGUGAACGCUGGCGGUAGGCCUAACACAUGCAAGUCGAACGGCAGCACAGGAGAGCUUGCUCUCUAGGUGGCGAGUGGCGGACGGGUGAGGAAUACAUCGGAAUCUGCCCAGUCGUGGGGGAUAACGUAGGGAAACUUACGCUAAUACCGCAUACGACCUUCGGGUGAAAGAGGGGGAUCGCAAGACCUCUCGCGAUUGGAUGAGCCGAUGUCGGAUUAGCUAGUUAGCGGGGUAAUGGCCCACCAAGGCGACGAUCCGUAGCUGGUCUGAGAGGAUGAUCAGCCACACUGGAACUGAGACACGGUCCAGACUCCUACGGGAGGCAGCAGUGGGGAAUAUUGGACAAUGGGCGCAAGCCUGAUCCAGCCAUACCGCGUGGGUGAAGAAGGCCUUCGGGUUGUAAAGCCCUUUUGUUGGGAAAGAAAUCUUUCAGGCUAAUACCCUGGGAGGAUGACGGUACCCAAAGAAUAAGCACCGGCUUACUUCGUG
Molecule: ribosomal RNA, 490 nt
Filed under: uncultured bacterium
Lineage: Bacteria
Description: partial 16S ribosomal RNA
Rfam family: Bacterial small subunit ribosomal RNA
Source: RNAcentral